RNAcentral lists this ribosomal RNA (494 nucleotides) under uncultured bacterium. RNAcentral's name for it is "partial 16S ribosomal RNA". It matches the Rfam family "Bacterial small subunit ribosomal RNA", at positions 28 to 507 of the family's 1533-position model. The record is from RNAcentral.
GACGAACGCUGGCGGCGUGCUUAACACAUGCAAGUCGUACGGAAAGGCCUGCUUUCCCUUGUGGAUUGCGGGUACUCGAGUGGCGAACGGGUGAGUAACACGUGAGUGAUCUGCCCCCAACUUGGGUAUAAGCCUGGGAAACUGGGUCUAAUUCCCGAUAGGACUGCAGGGUGGCGCCUGUGGUGGAAAACGAUUUUCUAGUGGUUGGGGAUGAGCUCGCGGCCUAUCAGCUUGUUGGUGGGGUAAUGGCCUACCAAGGCGGCGACGGGUAGCCGGCCUGGGAGGGUGGACGGCCACAUUGGGAUUGAGAUACGGCCCAGACUGCUACGGGAGGCAGCAGUGGGGAAUAUUGCACAAUGGGCGGAAGCCUGAUGCAGCGACGCCGCGUGGGGGAUGACGGCCUUCGGGUUGUAAACUCCUUUCGACCGCGAGGAAGCCACCUGGUUGGAAGGGUGGUGACGGUAGUGGUAGAAGAAGCACCGGCUAACUACGUG